RNAcentral lists this ribosomal RNA (413 nucleotides) under uncultured Staphylococcus sp. RNAcentral describes it as "bacterial SSU rRNA". It matches the Rfam family "Bacterial small subunit ribosomal RNA", at positions 984 to 1397 of the family's 1533-position model. The record is from RNAcentral. Lineage: Bacteria; Bacillati; Bacillota; Bacilli; Caryophanales; Staphylococcaceae.
GGAUCUUUUAGAAGUUCUAGAGAAGAGCCUUCCCCUUCGGGGGACAAAGUGACAGGUGGUGCAUGGUUGUCGUCAGCUCGUGUCGUGAGAUGUUGGGUUAAGUCCCGCAACGAGCGCAACCCUUAAGCUUAGUUGCCAUCAUUAAGUUGGGCACUCUAGGUUGACUGCCGGUGACAAACCGGAGGAAGGUGGGGAUGACGUCAAAUCAUCAUGCCCCUUAUGAUUUGGGCUACACACGUGCUACAAUGGAUAAUACAAAGGGCAGCUAAACCGCGAGGUCAUGCAAAUCCCAUAAAAUUGUUCUCAGUUCGGAUUGUAGUCUGCAACUCGACUACAUGAAGCUGGAAUCGCUAGUAAUCGUAGAUCAGCAUGCUACGGUGAAUACGUUCCCGGGUCUUGUACACACCGAACUU